Molecule: ribosomal RNA, 820 nt
Filed under: Salmonella enterica
Lineage: Bacteria; Pseudomonadati; Pseudomonadota; Gammaproteobacteria; Enterobacterales; Enterobacteriaceae
Description: partial 23S ribosomal RNA
Rfam family: Bacterial large subunit ribosomal RNA
Source: RNAcentral
UUGACACUGAACAUUGAGCCUUGAUGUGUAGGAUAGGUGGGAGGCUUUGAAGCGUGGACGCCAGUCUGCGUGGAGCCGACCUUGAAAUACCACCCUUUAAUGUUUGAUGUUCUAACGUGGACCCGUAAUCCGGGUUGCGGACAGUGUCUGGUGGGUAGUUUGACUGGGGCGGUCUCCUCCUAAAGAGUAACGGAGGAGCACGAAGGUUGGCUAAUCCUGGUCGGACAUCAGGAGGUUAGUGCAAUGGCAUAAGCCAGCUUGACUGCGAGCGUGACGGCGCGAGCAGGUGCGAAAGCAGGUCAUAGUGAUCCGGUGGUUCUGAAUGGAAGGGCCAUCGCUCAACGGAUAAAAGGUACUCCGGGGAUAACAGGCUGAUACCGCCCAAGAGUUCAUAUCGACGGCGGUGUUUGGCACCUCGAUGUCGGCUCAUCACAUCCUGGGGCUGAAGUAGGUCCCAAGGGUAUGGCUGUUCGCCAUUUAAAGUGGUACGCGAGCUGGGUUUAGAACGUCGUGAGACAGUUCGGUCCCUAUCUGCCGUGGGCGCUGGAGAACUGAGGGGGGCUGCUCCUAGUACGAGAGGACCGGAGUGGACGCAUCACUGGUGUUCGGGUUGUCAUGCCAAUGGCACUGCCCGGUAGCUAAAUGCGGAAGAGAUAAGUGCUGAAAGCAUCUAAGCACGAAACUUGCCCCGAGAUGAGUUCUCCCUGAGACUUAGAGUCUCCUGAAGGAACGUUGAAGACGACGACGUUGAUAGGCCGGGUGUGUAAGCGCAGCGAUGCGUUGAGCUAACCGGUACUAAUGAACCGUGAGGCUUAACCUU